ACCAGGAAGAAGAGUUGAAUAAAAAUAAUGCUGGCGAUGGGAUGGAAGAUGACAAUACAAUUACAUGUCAUAAUAAGGAUUCGCAUAACACCAGGACUGGAUGUGAACAUGCGUUAACAAUAAUAACAACUGGUAACCAGGAGGACAACAUGAGAAUUUCACAUGAGGUUGGUGAUACAAGUUCUCCGUGUCACGUAGCACAUGAACAAAUGGAACAUAUUGCUGCAUCCUCAGAAGCU
Long non-coding RNA from Zea mays, 239 nucleotides. RefSeq lists it as uncharacterized. The record is from RefSeq and is a predicted model, not a curated record. Lineage: Eukaryota; Viridiplantae; Streptophyta; Magnoliopsida; Poales; Poaceae. The transcript is spliced from 3 exons.